GUAGGUGGCAAGCGUUGUCCGGAAUUAUUGGGCGUAAAGCGCGCGCAGGCGGUCCUUUAAGUCUGAUGUGAAAGCCCACGGCUCAACCGUGGAGGGUCAUUGGAAACUGGGGGACUUGAGUACAGAAGAGGAAAGCGGAAUUCCAAGUGUAGCGGUGAAAUGCGUAGAGAUUUGGAGGAACACCAGUGGCGAAGGCGGCUUUCUGGUCUGUAACUGACGCUGAGGCGCGAAAGCGUGGGGAGCAAACAGGAUUAGAUACCCUGGUAGUCCACGCCGUAAAUGAUGAGUGCUAAGUGUUAGGGGGUUUCCCGCCCCCCUUAGUGCUGCAGCUAACGCACUAAGCACUCCGCCUGGGGAGUACGGCCGCAAGGCUG
RNAcentral lists this ribosomal RNA (374 nucleotides) under uncultured organism. Its description in RNAcentral is "partial 16S ribosomal RNA". It matches the Rfam family "Bacterial small subunit ribosomal RNA", at positions 527 to 896 of the family's 1533-position model. The record is from RNAcentral.